RNAcentral lists this ribosomal RNA (167 nucleotides) under Taractes rubescens (pomfret). RNAcentral describes it as "partial 12S ribosomal RNA". The record is from RNAcentral. Lineage: Eukaryota; Metazoa; Chordata; Actinopteri; Scombriformes; Bramidae.
CACCGCGGUUAUACGAGAGGCCCAAGUUGACAGACAUCGGCGUAAAGCGUGGUUAAGAUACCCUAAAACUAAAGCCGAAUGCCCUCCGGGCAGUUAUACGCAUCCGAAGGUACGAAGCUCCACCACGAAAGUGGCUUUAUCCCCCUGACCCCACGAAAGCUACGAAA